GACGAACGCUGGCGGCGUGCUUAACACAUGCAAGUCGAACGGGCCUUGUCCCCUUUUUUUUUGGGGGUGGGGUUAGUGGCGAACGGGUGAGUAACACGUGAGUAACCUGCCCCUCACUUCUGGAUAACCGCUUGAAAGGGUGGCUAAUACGGGGUGUUCUGGCCUGCUCGCAUGGGUGGGUUUGGAAAGAUUCGACCGGUUUUGGUUGUUUUGGUGGGGGAUGGGCUCGCGGCCUAUCAGCUUGUUGGUGGGGUGAUGGCCUGCCAAGGCUUUGACGGGUAGCCGGCCUGAGAGGGUGGGCGGUCACACUAGGACUGAGACACGGCCCAGACUCCUACGGGAGGCAGCAGUGGGGAAUAUUGCACAAUGGGCGCAAGCCUGAUGCAGCGACGCCGCGUGAGGGAUGGAGGCCUUCGGGUUGUGAACCUCUUUCGCCAGUGAAGAAGGUCCUGCUCUUUGUGGUGGGGUUGACGGUAGCUGGGUUAAUGAAGCGCCGGCUAACUACGUG
RNAcentral lists this ribosomal RNA (508 nucleotides) under uncultured bacterium. Its description in RNAcentral is "partial 16S ribosomal RNA". It matches the Rfam family "Bacterial small subunit ribosomal RNA", at positions 28 to 507 of the family's 1533-position model. The record is from RNAcentral.